This 416-nucleotide ribosomal RNA is filed under the name uncultured bacterium. Its description in RNAcentral is "bacterial SSU rRNA". It matches the Rfam family "Bacterial small subunit ribosomal RNA", at positions 8 to 449 of the family's 1533-position model. The record is from RNAcentral.
AGAGUUUGAUCAUGGCUCAGGAUGAACGCUGGCGGUAUGCAUUACACAUGCAAGUCGUACGAAAACUUCGGUUUUAGUGGCAAACGGGUGAGGAAUACAUGAGAAUCUACCUUUAAGAGGAGGAUAACAAUUGGAAACACUUGCUAAAACUCCAUACGCCUCUGGGUGAAAAAGUGUAAAACUGCUUAAAGAUGAGCUCAUGUCUGAUUAGCUAGUUGGUGAGGUAAUGGCUCACCAAGGCGACGAUCAGUAGCUGGUCUGAGAGGAUGAUCAGCCACACUGGAACUGAGACACGGUCCAGACUCCUACGGGAGGCAGCAGUGGGGAAUUUUCUGCAAUGGGCGAAAGCCUGACAGAGCAAUACCGCGUGAGGGAAGAAAGCCUACGGGUUGUAAACCUCUUUUCUCAAGGAAGAA